GCGCGCGUGGCGGAACUGGCAGACGCGCAGGUUUCAGGUACCUGUCCUAGCAAUAGGGUGGAGGUUCGAAUCCUCUCGCGCGCA
RNAcentral lists this transfer RNA (84 nucleotides) under Rhodopirellula sp. TMED11. RNAcentral's name for it is "tRNA-Leu". It matches the Rfam family "tRNA". From Rfam's summary of the family: Transfer RNA (tRNA) molecules are approximately 80 nucleotides in length. Their secondary structure includes four short double-helical elements and three loops (D, anti-codon, and T loops). Lineage: Bacteria; Pseudomonadati; Planctomycetota; Planctomycetia; Pirellulales; Pirellulaceae. The record is from RNAcentral. RNAcentral also lists the same sequence under 1 other name.